This 232-nucleotide ribosomal RNA is filed under the name uncultured bacterium. RNAcentral's name for it is "partial 16S ribosomal RNA". It matches the Rfam family "Bacterial small subunit ribosomal RNA", at positions 118 to 347 of the family's 1533-position model. The record is from RNAcentral.
UGAGCAAUCUGCCCUUCUCAUCGGAAUAAGCGUUGGAAACGACGUCUAAUGCCGAAUACGACCUCCUUUCGCAUGAUCGGAGGUGGAAAGCUCCGGCGGAGAAGGAUGAGCUCGCGGCCUAUCAGCUAGUUGGUGUGGGUAAUGGCCCACCAAGGCUUCGACGGGUAGCCGGCCUGAGAGGGCGACCGGCCACACUGGGACUGAGAUACGGCCCAGACUCCUACGGGAGCAG